This 491-nucleotide ribosomal RNA is filed under the name uncultured bacterium. Its description in RNAcentral is "bacterial SSU rRNA". It matches the Rfam family "Bacterial small subunit ribosomal RNA", at positions 28 to 498 of the family's 1533-position model. The record is from RNAcentral.
GAUGAACGCUAGCGGCAGGCUUAAUACAUGCAAGUCGAGGGGCAUCAAGGUACACGAAAGUGUAUUGUUGGCGACCGGCGGACGGGUGAGUAAUAGGUAGGUAACCUACCUCAUACUGAGGCAUAGCUGGGAGAAAUUCCAGGUAAUUCCUCAUGAGGUUAUAUGACACAUGUGAUAUAAUCAAAGGUAUCGCAAGGUACUGGUAUGAGAUGGGCUUACUGACCAUUAGCUAGUUGGUGAGAUAAGAGCUCACCAAGGCGAAGAUGGUUAGGGGUUUUGAGAGAGAGAUCCCCCAAUUGGAACUGAGAUACGGUCCAGACUCCUACGGGAGGCAGCAGUAGGGAAUAUUGGGCAAUGGGCGGAAGCCUGACCCAGCCAUGCCGCGUAGAAGGAAGACGGCCUUAGUGGGUUAGUAAACUUCUUUACUAUGCGACUAACUAGAUUUACGAGUACUAAUUCUAUAGAAUGUAGAUAGACAAAAAGCACCGGUA